Balaenoptera acutorostrata (minke whale) is the source of this 6303-nucleotide long non-coding RNA. RefSeq lists it as uncharacterized. NCBI's taxonomy places the organism in Eukaryota, Metazoa, Chordata, Mammalia, Artiodactyla, Balaenopteridae. The transcript is spliced from 3 exons. The record is from RefSeq and is a predicted model, not a curated record.
AGGGAAGGUCACCAGACUCCGGUGACCUUCCUGGGUCGGGGGGGAAGAGUGGGUCCUUCGUGGGUCCGAGUCUGGCCUCGUCACAGGGAACCAGGCAGUGUCCUCUGGUCUUCGGGGCGGGGGCUCUUGGCCUGGGCCCUUCUCCAGGAUGGCGGCUUGGUGAAGUUCAGCCCUGUCUACAUGAAGUCAGGGGUGUUUUCUCCUGUUGUACCUGGCAUGCCGACCCCCACCCCGGCCACCUCCCGCUGCCUCCUGCUGCCCGACACCCUUCACGGGCUGUGGGCAGGAGAGCCUGGCCUUGCUCUCCUCUGCUCACCACGAGCCCCUGGGUUAUGGGAGCUGCCUGUCUUGUCGGGGAGACAGAACCUCACCCAACAGGCCCGGGGCAUGCAGGUUCCCAGGGCGAUGGGUGUGCAGUGUUGAAGUCAGACUUGCGCGCCCACCGCAGGGAAGCAGGAAACAGGCGUUGAGGCUGCCUGAUCUCUUAGAAACGUUGACAAAGCAAUAGGAAGCUGCUUAAAGAAACUGGCUCAAGCCCACAGUGGAGUCCAAGGCAGCCGUGAAGACCGACAGGGUGGUGAGAAGGUUCUGUGGUGCGGCUGCGCAACGCUGGCGGAGGUACUAGAACCCGUUGGAUGGUAUGCUUUACCCGGGUGAAUCGUUCAGUAUGUGAUUUAUGUCUCCAUAAAGCUGUUACCCCAAAAAAAGGAAGACAAAGACAGAAGCCUCGCCUUAUAAACAGCGUGUACCACUAAGCAGGUAUGGAAUGGUGGACGUGGUACGCUACCAUUUUUACAAAAAAGGGAAAAAAAGAAUAUACAAGUGUAUUUUCCUGAGUAUGGAAGGUCUCUGGAAGGGUUCUGCAGAAGUCGGUAACUCCGGCUGUCUCCAGGGUGGGAGCUGGAGUACCCAGUGAAGGGGCAGGAAACAUAUUUUCAUCUUGCACCCUUUAUACCUUUUGAAUUUUGAAUCCCAUGGGUGAUUUACACAGUCACAGAAACAGUACUUUUAAAUUAGCUUUUUAAAAAAUCAGCGGGCUCUCUGGGGCGCUGGCACUGUUCUGUACUUAGAUCUAGUCGGGUGGAAAUUUAUCCUGCUGCGCAUGAAAGAGUCACAUGCUUUUCUACACGCGUUUUUAAAUGUGCACUGGACGCUUGGCUGCCUGGCCGUCACCUGGAUCUUGCUGUGCACUUUUGAUGUGCCCGGCAGACCCCAGGACCCCACCCAUCUGACAGCCAUAAUGCAACACCUACUGCAUUUGAGACAAAGACCCACCUCCAUAGGACCUUGCACGUCUGCCCCUGGCUGCCCUUCCAAACUUUGCUGACCCACCCACGCCCUCCCUCUGCACCCCACCAUGAUGGCCGCCUCUCAGCGGCUGGGACACUCCCAGGGCCUUUGCACGUGCUGCUUCCUCGUGGAGCAGCUCACCUGCUGACUUCUCUGGACUCCUCACCCUCUGAGGGCAGAGCCCCUCCCUCUCUGGGCACUGGGAUCCUGGGACCUCUCUCCGGUCCCAGGAGGUUUAUUGGAAUGUUCUGAGUUGCCUUUUGGCUUUUCCCUCGCUCACCUCUGAGAACAUGUGGGCUGCUGGGGACUCCCAGAGACACUCAGAUGGAAGCCAGAGAAGGGGGACGAGCUGCCCUGAGUCCUCCCGGACGUGAGCGUGCCGUGGGCCGUGAAGAGUCCCGGCCCGAAGCUCUCCAGCUAUGAGAGUUUGAGCAACCUCCACCCCUGCCGAAGCCUCGGUUUUCCCACCUGUGAGGUGGUUUCCUGGCUACUCCUCCCUUGAUUGCCAACUGUUCACAUCUGCCCUUCGGAACUCAGGGAAGGUCAUGGAGGCUGGAGUCUUGCCUACAAGAAACGGGGCCAAAAGGGCCUGCAUGCCCGGGAUUCCCUCAGGGCCCCACUCGGUUUCAGGACAAGCCGGGGGCCUCCCCGCCCCUGAGCUCCCGUGGGGCGGGCUGGGGCCUCGGCCGUGACCCCGUGCAGCUCAGUGGGACAUGGAACACCGCGUCACGGUGUCCUGGCAUCUCUGCCCAUUUCCGGAGCUCCGCAACAAUGGAAGCCACGGCAAUGAGAAGCCCGCAACGAAGAGUAGCCUCCGCUCGCCUGUCCGUGCCUGCUUCUUUCUUUGGCUCCUUCCAAAGGGAAAUCUGCACCUCUCGUCAAAAAUGAGGCGCUGGGGACCACACUGGAGACCUGGCCCGUGACAGCGUGUUUCUGCCAAUGUCCUGACAGAGAGCACCGGGAGGCCCGCAGGCCAGGGCGCAGCGGGGAAUCAUUAAUUCUGCCAAAAGGAACUAAACGUCUUGAUCUCAAUGAUCUGGACCAGUUUAGUCCAGCUCUGUACACAUUUUUCAGGACUCUGCAGGCGGCACAAAUUCCAUUCAAAUAAAUCUCCCUGGGGGCGGGUGUAAGUGAGUUCAACCCUUUUGGAAACGGUAAGGCAGCUUUUGCUAGAACCCAUGACUCACUAAUUCGCUUCUGGGUGUGCACCCAGCACACACUUCCAAGGUGUGUGCAAGGCCCAGGGCAAGUCUGAGAAUGUUCCAGUCACCACAGCCCAGGCUGGGAACUGCCUGGGACUCCGUGAACCAUCAAGAGAGAGAUUGUGGUGAGGUCACAUGUUGGGUAAUAAACUGUGAUGAGGAUGAUGGGCCAGCCAUGCCCGACCUCGGCCACGUGGAGAACCCCAUGUGACCCCAUCCCAGAAAGUCCGAACUGGGGACACUUCGUGGAGAUGCAUGGCAAGCAGCUCUUUGUACCAGUGUCCCUGGGGUGCUGUCACAACUUAACACAACCCAGGGGCUUAAACAACAGGAAUUUAUCCCCUCACAGUGCAGAGCCCUGAAGUUUACAAUCAAGGUGUGGGCAGGGCUGUGAUCCCUCCUGGGACGAUGGAAGAGGGUCCUUCCUGCCUCUUCAUCGAGGCUUCUGUCCUCACAUGGCCUCUCCGUGUGUCUCUGAGUCUGUGUGCGUUUUCCCUUCUCUUACAAGGACACUCUCAGGGAUUUAGGGCCCAUCCUAAUCCAGGAUGAGCUCAUCUUGAGAUCCUUGCCUUAAUUACAUCUGCAAUGUCCCUAUUUCCAAGUAGGGUCCCAUCCUGAGGCUCUGGGUGGACAUGAAUUGGGGGUGUGUGUGUCACCAUCUAACCCACUAGAGAUUCCGUGGGACUCUGCCCACGUAGGACUCUCCCUGUCUCCUGACGUGAAGAUCUGCAAUCUUGGUCCGUGUAGAAGUCCCUGGUGUCUGGUAACGUGUCCACUGGUGGGACAGCGGGGCCCACCCACAGACUCGACCCAGAUGGUAGGGUGCGUGGGUGAUGGGGCAGGGGUGAAGCUGGGAUCUCGGGAAACUUGACAACCACCCCAUCUACACCAGAGUCUUUACACUGUGGAGGAAAUGACCCUCCCUGCAAAGCACAGUUAACGGCGAGCCAGGGGUGAAGCAGACAGACCAGUGGGGCCUCCCACCUCUGCUCCCCGCCCUCACCCUGCAGGGUAACUGCCCCGGACAGUGAGGGCGAGGAGGCUGGGAGCCUGGAGCUGGGCCACCACGGCCUCCUGGCUCAGACGGCAGCCUCUCAGCCUCCACGUGUCCCCAACACAAGGGCCAACUCCCAGGGCCGCUGUGAGGAUCGGCUGAGUCAGGUCAACGUGGCUGACAGGUGUUGAUGCCUGGCGACACCUGCUGGGUUUUGCGGUGCUGACCCUGCACCUCAUGAUAUUCCAGCAGCUUCCAUUUCUGGAUUGGCAUUGCUUACGUUAAUAAGCAUGAAUUCAGGACCACAGACACAGACAGAAACAGCCAGAGGCUGUCGGACCUCACAGCUGAGAGCACCUUUCCAUGCUCUGCUCUUAGGACCAGGGCAUCCAUCGUAACGUGCUGCUUCCUGCCACACUCAGUAGACCCCCUGGUAAACAAGGCCAACCUGCUGCCCAGCCUGGGAGCUCCCAGCAGGGGCUGGAAGAGGGGACUCAGCUGGGGGCUUCACUCGGCCCCAGACCUCCCUCACCUGUUACCACUAGGGUCGGUCACAUGCCACAUGCUCAGCCAGGCCUUUCCAUACUGACUUUUUUUUUUUUUUGGCUGCACCUCGUGGCAUGUGGGAUCUUAGUUCCCCGACCAGGGAUUGAACCGGCGCCCCCUACAUCCAGACUGAGUUCUUUUUUUUUUAAAUAUAUGUAUUUAUUUAUUUGGCUGCAUUGGGUCUUCGUUGCUGUGCGCAGGCUUUCUCUAGUUGUGGCGAGCGGGGGCUACUCUUUGUUGCGGUGUGCGGGCUUCUCAUUGUGGUGGCUCCUCUUGUUGUGGAACACGGGUUCUAGGCGCGUGGGCUCAGUCGUUGUGGCUCGCGGGCCCUAGAAUGCAGGCUCAAUAGUUGUGGCGCACGGGCAUACUUGCUUCGCGGCAUGUGGGAUCUUCCCAGGCCAGGGCUCGAACCCGUGUCCCCUGCAUUGGCAGGCGGACUCUUAACCACUGCGCCACCAGGGAAGCCCCACCCUCACCUUUUUACCCCAGAGCCCAGCGCUCUUGUCCAGGUAUGUUCCUAGUUUUGUCUCUGGAAUAAGCACCUGAAUGCAGAGUUCCACAAAAGGAGGACUCUCUCUGCUGUUUCCUAAUUUACAACCCAGUGCUGGAACUGUGCCCUCGGAUGCUGAACCGAGUGGCCCAGCUCUCUCCAGCCAGAGCUCCGUGGUGACAGGAAGUCAAACCCCGGUCUGAGGCUGGGGAUUGGCCCCUGAGGAGGAGGAGCCCAUCAGGUCACGCCCACCACUCCGUCCUGGUCUGUCCUGGUUUGUCGGGCCCAGGUGCCCCUCAUCUGGGGAGAAUCCCCACCUCCUUCAGGCAGCUUCCUCUCGAAGGGCUCAGGCGGUCAGGGAACUCUGAGCCUUUGCCCUGGCCAGGCCAGGCGGAGCUGCGGGCUCCGGCUCGGAGAGUAAGACCCUCCGGGAACCCUCCAGGCAGCCGAACCGCAGCGGGCAUCGCCGGCGUCCCCGCUGCUUCGAGGACCUGGCGCUAGAGGAGAGAGUCGGCCCCUCCAGCUCCAGCAGGAGGUUAGUGAGAGCGGGUGUGGCCACCGCCUUCCCUCCACGGCCACCGGGCUCCCAGCCUGUGGCUCUGCUUGCCCGUUCAGCUCCCCCUCGGCUGCCGCUGCACCUGGGUUGGAGGGCGUCACGCAGGGACGGGCACCCUUGCUCUCCUGUGGGGUGCUGCUCUCCGGAGGGGCCUGCCCUCGGCGCCCCCAAGCUCUGAGCGGUCGUCACGGCUGCGUGGACGCGGCUGCCUCCGUGGCACCAAAAGGGUGAGGCUGUGUCUCCCAGAGGCAGCAGCGCCGUGAGUCACCACGCGGUGGAGGCACGUGGGCACCGGGCCGUGGCCCCGGGGAGAGGAGCGCAGCAGCGCUGCUCCCGUGGGGACGUGAGAGGCUGGAGCAGCUCUCAGCAUCAGCCUGGAGGCCUGUGGGGGACACAGGCCCUGAGACCACGCACCCACCAGGCCAGCAGCGGGGGUGGGCGGUGCCGCCUCGGUGUCCUGGGGCUCAGAUGACCAGGAGCCGGGGGCUCAGACAACAGAAGUCUAUUCCCUCCAGGCCUGGAGGCCAGGAGUCUGAAAUCAAGGGGUCGCAGGGCUGGGCGCCCUCCAGAGGCUCCGAGGAAGCAUCCCUCCUGCCUCUUCCAGCCCCUGGGGGCUCCAGGCAUCCCUGGCUUGUGGCCUCAUCCCUCCAAUCUCUGCUCCGUCUUCACGCGGCCUCCCCUCUGUGUGCACCUCAAAUAUAAGGACGCUACUCCUUGGAUAUAGGGCCACCCUAAUCUCAGUUCACACCCCAUCUAAACUUAGCGAAUUAUAUCUGCAAAGACCCUAUUUCCAAAUCCGGUCACAUCCGUGUUUCCAGGUGGAGGUGAAUUUUGGGGGGGGGGUCGCUGUUCCACCCACAGUGGGGUGGGUGUGUGUUAGCAGCUCCUGGCAUGUCUGGCGUAGGUGGUCCCGACCGCUCCCUGGGGAGCCCCGGGUCAGUCCGAGCCCUGCAGGGCCCUGGUGGAAUCCAGCCCCCCACCGGCACCCCAGCCUUUUCGCUUCCGUGUGGGUGGGUUUUUCCAACGGGGACAGUUCUCCCGUCUGGCAGGAGGACUAUGUGGGCGCCUGCAUUCGGAGGAGCCUGCAGACGGCUGUCACCUCACUGGUGUCAGGCGCGUUUGCGGGUGUCCGUGAGUCUCCGGAGAGAGGGGGUGACCUCAGGACAUCUCUGUCAGGCUGGACACUGGCCGCCCUUUGUAUCUCCACUGUGGAGCCAUAUCUCUG